GCAUGGGAACUGGAACUGAAGGAUCUUCCUGAUAUUCACUUUCCCCGCUGCUAUCUGCCCCCCUGUACCAACGCAGCCACUUCAGAAUCCCAUAUGCAUGUAUUCUGUGAUGCCUCUGAUCAUGUGUAUGGUGCUGUUGCCUACCUUCAGACUAAAGAUCAGCAUGACCACACCCAUGUCAGUUUCAUCAUGGCCAGAUCUCGUAUAGCUCCUAAACGCCAACUAUCUAUCCCUCGCCUGGAACCAUGUACAGCCCUUUCCGGUGCCCAGCUGGCUAACCUCCUCAGUUCCAAACUCACCAUUCCACUACAGUCAGUGAAUCUCUGGACAGAUUCUACAACAGUCCUGUCAUGGCUAACAUCUGACUCCUGUCGUUAUAAGGUGUUUGUCGGCACAAGAAUAGCGGAGAUCCAGACUCUGACUGACACAUCGAACUGGAGAUAUGUUGACUCGAAGAAUAAUCCAGCUGACUACCUGACACGGGGCAAAACACUCCUAGAACUUUCCCAGCAACACAGAUGGAGUCAAGGCCCUCCAUUCCUUUUGCUGAAUAUCAACUGCUGGCCAGCCAAUCCGUGUGGGGUAGCUGAAUCAGAGCCUGUUGAGGAACUCAGGAAGUCCAUGUUCUGCAGUGCAGUGAUGUCAGAUGACAUUAACAACCCUGACGAUCUGAACAAGUACAGCAGUUGGGAUGAUCUGAUGAAAGAAACGAAGAAUAUGCUACAAGAGGCGGUAGAUCACGACCCAAACAUAGCUCAAAGCUAUAUACAGUCAGAGAAGCAUCUUCUGCAAAAGGCCCAAUUAGAGUGCUUUCCUGAUGAAGUCAAUGCCCUCAAAACUCUCCCUACUAAAAAAAAAACUACUCCCUCUGUCUCCUGAAUAUGACACUGAUCUUGGCCUCAUCAGAGUAGGUGGUCGACUUCGAAGAGUGGAGACCCUUGGCAACGACAACAUCCAUCCAACUAUAUUGGAUCCAAAACAUCACAUAACCAAACUCAUGAUAAAACAUUAUGAUGAGAAACUACUUCACCCAGGCCCUGAGCGUGUCCUGGGGGAAAUUAGAUGCAGGUACUGGAUCCUGCGUGGUCGCCAAGCUAUUCGUCAGCAUCAACGCCAAUGUCAGGACUGUCAGAGAUGGAGCCAACCCAAUCAUUCCCAAAAUGGCAGACCUUCCUCCAGCCCAUCUUAGACUUUUCAAGCCCCCCUUCUGGUCGACAGGCAUGGACUGCUUUGGCCCUUUCAUUGUGAAAAUCGGCCGUCGCACAGAGAAGCGAUGGGGCAUACUCUUCAAAUGCUUAACAAAACGCUGCAUACAUCUUGAGUUGCUUGAUAGCAUGGAUGCAGAUACAUUUCUAAUGGCAUUCAGAAGAUUUGUCUCACGCAGAGGGAAACCCUUUGAAAUCCUCUCUGACUGUGGGACUAAUUUCAGAGCGGGAGAAGCAGAGCUGAAAAAUGCAUUCCUGUCCAUGGCACCAGACCUGCAGCAGCAACUGGCUCACACACAGGUGAACUCCCAAUACAAUCCUCCAUCUGCCCCACAUUUCGGUGGAAGCUGGGAAUGAGAGAUAAAAUCAAUAAAAAUGGCCCUCCAUGUAGCAGUAGGAAACCAACCAACAACAGAGACAGUCCUACACACAGUCCUGAUUGAGGUUGAGGGCAUUUUGAAUUCCAAACCUCUCAGAUACAUCUCCUCUGACCUUGCUGAUCCAGACCCAGUAACACCAAAUAUGUUGCUGAUGGGGUGGUCCGACUCCUCUCUUCCUCAGGAGAUCAACUGUGCAAGUGAACUCCUAGGCAGACAAAGAUGGCGUCACAGUCAGAUCUUGGCUGAUCAUUUUUGGACAGCCUUCAUUCGCUAUUACCUUCCAAACCUUCAAACCAGGCAAAAAUGGGAGACCCACAAGAAAAACUUGGAUUCAGGUCAGGUUGUACUGAUAGUUGACCCCCAGUAUCCUCGAGCAUCAUGGCCUAUCGGAAGGAUAAUUGAAACCUGCCCUGGAAACGAUGGAAAGGUUUGCAGUGCUAAGGUCAUUAUCCAAGGCCGAGAAUACCUAUGCCCUGUUUCCAGAUUGAUCCCACUGCCUGAAAUGACUGAUGAAGCCAGAUGAAACGUAUUUGCUACACAAAUCCGGGGGCGGCUGUCAGAAAGUGCCAGUUCAUAUUCCAUCCUCUCCACUAGGAGGAGGCACCCAAUGGUGGCUCAGGGUAUCAGUGGUACCUCCCACUCUAUAAAUAGAGGCCUGAAGAUCACUUCCUCCUCUUUGUCUCCAAGCACUCACACCUUGACUGAGCGUUUGUCAGGUGUUUGCCAUGUGUCUUUUGGUUUGACCUCCAAUAACCAUGGUAAUCAUCCUGCAACAUCACAGAACCAACAUUCACCCUGUGAUUUAAAAUAAAUUGGACGAUUGAUUGAUUGCAA
Non-coding RNA from Epinephelus lanceolatus (giant grouper), 2419 nucleotides. The record is from RefSeq and is a predicted model, not a curated record. NCBI's taxonomy places the organism in Eukaryota, Metazoa, Chordata, Actinopteri, Perciformes, Serranidae.